Molecule: long non-coding RNA, 1229 nt
Organism: Cyprinus carpio (common carp)
Lineage: Eukaryota; Metazoa; Chordata; Actinopteri; Cypriniformes; Cyprinidae
Exons: 3
Source: RefSeq, a predicted model, not a curated record
UAUUUAUUAUUUAUAAUAAUUUUAGCGCGGGUUUGAUGUAAUUGAAAAAGGCUGUUUGGUCUGUUUCCGCGGAUGAAUCAGACUAAAACAAUUUUUAAAAUCUCAUUUGGCGUCAUAUGAAUAUUUAAUCAAUGAUCUUCAUGAAACAUCCGUGUUAGAAGCUUUUUAAAAUCCUUCCAUUUGUAGCCCUGAACCAGUUUGUUGCCUAUUAUAUAACCAUGUAAACACAACGGUCCCAUACGGUUCCUUUUAAUAAUAGCCAGUGCAAAACAUUAUUGAUAUAUUACUGCAACAAUCGUUGCUUCGCAAACGAUGACGAAAAACACAAUGCUUUAGAGAUCCACUAUUUUUAGUGCAGUCUUUGUGCCAAAGUAGGGCAAAUUUUAUUGCGCUGCAGUAUGUUUUAUCAGUGGAACCCUUUGUUUAAUGCACACACAUGGGAUACUCACACAUGCAUAGCUAAAAAUCUGUAAAUAUAUUUGAAAAUCCAACGCUUCGAGCAGAAGUAGUUUAUUAAUUCUGGAAACUUGACAGGUGAUCGUUUGUGUUUUUUUCAUAUAAAAGAGCAGACUGCUAGUGUAUUUGUGAUAUCAGAAGAUUAAAGCUUCAGCUAUGGCAGAGAAAUCAGCUGGAACAGGAAACAGCCAGAAUACUGGAAAUGAGAAGAACACGGAUGGCCAGAGUGGCGAGGACCCUAAAACAGCAGCCCAAAACACUGGCACUCCUGCCAAUGCUAAAAAACACAAGAAGAAGAAAAAGAUAAUCAGCAGAAAGGGGUAAAAAGCAAUGAGGAAACAUCUAAACAAGGGACCACAGAACUACUGUGACCUCCGCCCGGCUCAAACCAGUGUUUCACCGGCGAGCUGAGAGAAACACACCACCCACGAACAAAAGAGAUGAAUCUCAAGAGACACACACUCUGCAAGGGCCCCGGGAGACAAAUGAACACACAAACACUGAUGGAGACACAAAAUCUUUUGUUUUCACUAAAACACAUGAAGAGUUUUGCUAUAACUUCAAGGUAUGACUCGACACGGUAACAUCAACCAGCAGGAUCUUAAAUAGAUGUGUGGUCAAAUAUUACGUACUUCUAUUGCACAGUUUUGCGAUACAUACAUUCUCUUUGCAUUUUAAUAAGCAUACAAUAUUGCUAGAUUUCACUUUUUGUAAUGUUCAAAGUGUUGGAAUCAUAGAAAACACUUACAGGAAAAAAAUCCAAAUAAAGGGAA